This 491-nucleotide ribosomal RNA is filed under the name uncultured Variovorax sp. Its description in RNAcentral is "bacterial SSU rRNA". It matches the Rfam family "Bacterial small subunit ribosomal RNA", at positions 21 to 507 of the family's 1533-position model. The record is from RNAcentral. Lineage: Bacteria; Pseudomonadati; Pseudomonadota; Betaproteobacteria; Burkholderiales; Comamonadaceae.
GGCUCAGAUUGAACGCUGGCGGCAUGCCUUACACAUGCAAGUCGAACGGCAGCACGGGAGCAAUCCUGGUGGCGAGUGGCGAACGGGUGAGUAAUACAUCGGAACGUGCCCAAUCGUGGGGGAUAACGCAGCGAAAGCUGUGCUAAUACCGCAUACGAUCUACGGAUGAAAGCAGGGGACCGCAAGGCCUUGCGCGAAUGGAGCGGCCGAUGGCAGAUUAGGUAGUUGGUGAGGUAAAGGCUCACCAAGCCUUCGAUCUGUAGCUGGUCUGAGAGGACGACCAGCCACACUGGGACUGAGACACGGCCCAGACUCCUACGGGAGGCAGCAGUGGGGAAUUUUGGACAAUGGGCGAAAGCCUGAUCCAGCAAUGCCGCGUGCAGGAUGAAGGCCUUCGGGUUGUAAACUGCUUUUGUACGGAACGAAACGGUUCUUUCUAAUAAAGAGAGCUAAUGACGGUACCGUAAGAAUAAGCACCGGCUAACUACGUG